This 252-nucleotide ribosomal RNA is filed under the name uncultured bacterium. RNAcentral's name for it is "partial 16S ribosomal RNA". It matches the Rfam family "Bacterial small subunit ribosomal RNA", at positions 524 to 776 of the family's 1533-position model. The record is from RNAcentral.
UACGUAGGGGGCAAGCGUUGUCCGGAAUUAUUGGGCGUAAAGCGCGCGCAGGCGGUCAUUUAAGUUUGGUGUAUAAUCCUGGGGCUCAACCCCAGGCCGCAUUGAAAACUGGGUGACUUGAGUGCGGGAGAGGAAAGUGGAAUUCCACGUGUAGCGGUGAAAUGCGUAGAUAUGUGGAGGAACACCAGUGGCGAAGGCGGAUCACUGGACUGCCACUGACGCUGAGGCGCGAAAGCUAGGGGAGCAAACAGG